RNAcentral lists this transfer RNA (85 nucleotides) under Candidatus Giovannonibacteria bacterium RIFCSPHIGHO2_02_43_13. Its description in RNAcentral is "tRNA-Ser". It matches the Rfam family "tRNA". From Rfam's summary of the family: Transfer RNA (tRNA) molecules are approximately 80 nucleotides in length. Their secondary structure includes four short double-helical elements and three loops (D, anti-codon, and T loops). Further hydrogen bonds mediate the characteristic L-shaped molecular structure. tRNAs have two regions of fundamental functional importance: the anti-codon, which is responsible for specific mRNA codon recognition, and the 3' end, to which the tRNAs corresponding amino acid is attached (by aminoacyl-tRNA synthetases). tRNAs cope with the degeneracy of the genetic code in two manners: having more than one tRNA (with a specific anti-codon) for a particular amino acid; and 'wobble' base-pairing, i.e. permitting non-standard base-pairing at the 3rd anti-codon position. RNAcentral also lists the same sequence under 3 other names. Lineage: Bacteria; Candidatus Giovannoniibacteriota. The record is from RNAcentral.
GGAAGGGUCGCAUAGUGGUCUAGUGCGCUCGCUUGGAAAGCGAGUGUGCCGUAAGGCACCGCGAGUUCGAAUCUCGCCCCUUCCG